RNAcentral lists this small nucleolar RNA (70 nucleotides) under Euglena gracilis. RNAcentral describes it as "Eg-m28.1". The record is from RNAcentral. Lineage: Eukaryota; Euglenozoa; Euglenophyceae; Euglenales; Euglenaceae.
CAAUGAUGUGUUUCAAUUCAACAUCCUUUGUGAUUGUGAAGGCGUGAUGCAACCCCUGUGGGAACUGAUC